This is a long non-coding RNA of Labrus mixtus (cuckoo wrasse), 1141 nucleotides long. RefSeq lists it as uncharacterized. NCBI's taxonomy places the organism in Eukaryota, Metazoa, Chordata, Actinopteri, Labriformes, Labridae. The transcript has 3 exons. The record is from RefSeq and is a predicted model, not a curated record.
AAGAGUAAUUCUUUAGAUCUAUAGCAAAUGGGACCAUAUCAUACAUGGUGAUUCAACCAGUUAGCAAAUGAUAUCUGAAUGACACUUAGUGCCAUGUAUUUGGAUCAUUCAUCCAGUCUUUUAAUACGUAUGGACAGCAAUUCAAUUCAGUUCUAUUCAGUUUAAUCAUGUAUUUUUAUUCGGUAGUUUUAUGUAUUAACAGAAAGGGGAAAAGGAUAAGAUCACUUUGUUCGUAGAUUACCAAGAUUACUCGAAUUUUACAUCACCAAACUCUUAGAAACGAGUUGGACAACAACAGAUGAUGUCAACUCUGGGAGAUGUGCUGGUUUUUUUUGUUUUUUUUUAAUCUGCUUCCUGUUUACUCUCCUCUGUUAGCCAGCACAAGCAUUGGGAAACACCUACCACUUGGAUCCCUGGGAGAGGCAGGGAGUAGGGGAGAAGUCAGCAGCAGGUCUAUUGUCACCAGAGCCCCUUAGCAGGCCUUAUAUGGACAGACCCGCCCCUGAGAGAAAGCAGACAGGACAGACCCUGCAGGAAAUGUGGCAGGCUACCAAGGCGACAAAGUUCCUCCUUCACUCAAUGACUGUGUUGCUGAAAUCUGCUGAGGCGGUGCACAGUAGCGCAGUUAUGUCAUCGUUUUCAGGCCCGUCCCUUCACCAUAUUGGGCACACGAGUUCUCAAAAGCAACAAGAAACAGAAGAAGAAGAAGAAGAAGAAGAAGAAGAAGAAGAAGAAGAAGAAGAAGAAAAAAGACGAGAGAAAGGAAAUCUGAAUAUGUCAACUUCAGCUUUGUAAAGGCCACCCUGUUGACAGAGAGGAAAAUCUCUUUGGAAAUAUAGGAGUGUGUGCAGUGUGAGUUAGCCCUGCAGAGUAAAAACACAACACAGUUGUUUUAUAGGGGAGUUCAAAGGGAGCGUUGAAACGACGAGUUUUAACAGGUGGCUUAUUAGUGUCUGGGAUGGAAAGCGGUUUAUAACGAAGAAAUUAGGUCAGCAGAAAAUGUGUUUGGCAGGAUGGAAUCACAUGUCUGAAAGAGGGAGUUGCCUUUUUUGUUGUUGAUAUAGGCCAUCAGUGACAUGGGAAGUGGGAAAGAGGAAGGCGGGGGGAGGGGGGUGAGAGACAGAAACAAACAAAGAGAGAG